GAGAGACAGCUCUUCAUGUGGCGGCUCGCUACGGCAACGUGGAUGUGGUGAGCUACCUGUGCAGCAUCCGGGCCAACCCAGACCUGGCGGACAGGGAGCAGGAGACCCCGCUGCAUUGCGCUGCAUGGCACGGAUACUCGCCAGUAGCCAGAGCGCUCUGCCAGGCAGGUUGCCACGUGGAUGCAAAGAACCGUGAAGGGGAGAGUCCGCUGCUGACGGCAUCUGCUCGGGGCUUUGUGGACAUUGUGGAGUGCCUGGUGGAGCACAGGGCCGACCUAGAGGCGACUGACAAGGACGGCCACACAGCCCUCCACUUGGCCGUGCGGAGGUGUCAGAUUGAAGUGGUCCGCUGCCUCCUCAGACACCACUGCCACCUGGACCAGCAGGAUCGCCAUGGUAACACACCGCUGCACAUCGCCUGUAAAGACGGAAACCUGCCAGUCGU
Non-coding RNA from Plectropomus leopardus (leopard coralgrouper), 445 nucleotides. The record is from RefSeq and is a predicted model, not a curated record. NCBI's taxonomy places the organism in Eukaryota, Metazoa, Chordata, Actinopteri, Perciformes, Serranidae.